UAAGAAAUCAGACCAUCUGGCAUCUCGGA
This 29-nucleotide non-coding RNA is filed under the name Bombyx mori (domestic silkworm). The record is from RNAcentral. Lineage: Eukaryota; Metazoa; Arthropoda; Insecta; Lepidoptera; Bombycidae.